Molecule: ribosomal RNA, 49 nt
Filed under: Lasiodiplodia theobromae
Lineage: Eukaryota; Fungi; Ascomycota; Dothideomycetes; Botryosphaeriales; Botryosphaeriaceae
Description: partial 18S ribosomal RNA
Rfam family: Eukaryotic small subunit ribosomal RNA (bases 1-42)
Source: RNAcentral
CGUAACAAGGUUUCCGUAGGUGAACCUGCGGAAGGAUCAUUACCGAGUU